UUGUACAUGAAAAUGUCUCUUCCUCAUUCCUUUAGGAGCAGAAGUAUCCGUCGUAUGCUACAUUGAAAGUUCUCAGGGCUGGCAGUCUAAUAAUAGAAGUUGAGUACUAGUGUAUGUCUCCUACAUAA
Capra hircus (goat) is the source of this 128-nucleotide small nucleolar RNA. The record is from Ensembl. NCBI's taxonomy places the organism in Eukaryota, Metazoa, Chordata, Mammalia, Artiodactyla, Bovidae.